AAGGGUGUGUUCGUUUGUUCCGGA
Molecule: microRNA, 24 nt
Filed under: Zea mays
Lineage: Eukaryota; Viridiplantae; Streptophyta; Magnoliopsida; Poales; Poaceae
Description: microRNA miR-3112b
Source: RNAcentral